GACGAACGCUGGCGGCGUGCCUAAUACAUGCAAGUUGAGCGCUGAAGGUUGGUACUUGUACCAACUGGAUGAGCAGCGAACGGGUGAGUAACGCGUGGGGAAUCUGCCUUUGAGCGGGGGACAACAUUUGGAAACGAAUGCUAAUACCGCAUAAAAACUUUAAACACAAGUUUUAAGUUUGAAAGAUGCAAUUGCAUCACUCAAAGAUUAUCCCGCGUUGUAUUAGCUAGUUGGUGAGGUAAAGGCUCACCAAGGCGAUGAUACAUAGCCGACCUGAGAGGGUGAUCGGCCACAUUGGGACUGGGAACCGGCCCAAACUCCUACGGGAGGGAGCAGUAGGGAAUCUUCGGCAAUGGACGAAAGUCUGACCGAGCAACGCCGCGGGAGUGAAGAAGGUUUUCGGAUCGUAAAACUCUGUUGGUAGAGAAGAAAGUUGGUGAGAGUGGAAAGCUCAUCAAGUGACGGUAACUACCCAGAAAGGGACGGCUAACUACGUG
Molecule: ribosomal RNA, 497 nt
Filed under: uncultured bacterium
Lineage: Bacteria
Description: partial 16S ribosomal RNA
Rfam family: Bacterial small subunit ribosomal RNA
Source: RNAcentral